This 442-nucleotide ribosomal RNA is filed under the name uncultured bacterium. Its description in RNAcentral is "SSU rRNA". It matches the Rfam family "Bacterial small subunit ribosomal RNA", at positions 26 to 518 of the family's 1533-position model. The record is from RNAcentral.
AGAACGAACGCUGGCGGCACGCCUAACACAUGCAAGUCGAGCGCCCAGCAAUGGGAGCGGCGGACGGGUGAGUAACACGUGGGAAUAUGCCUUUCGGUACGGAACAACUCAGGGAAACUUGAGCUAAUGCCGUAUACGCCCUUACGGGGAAAGAUUUAUCGCCGAAAGAUUAGCCCGCGUCUGAUUAGCUAGUUGGUGAGGUAAUGGCUCACCAAGGCUUCGAUCAGUAGCUGGUUUGAGAGAACGACCAGCCACACUGGGACUGAGACACGGCCCAGACUCCUACGGGAGGCAGCAGUGGGGAAUCUUGGACAAUGGGGGAAACCCUGAUCCAGCGAUGCCGCGUGAGUGAUGAAGGCCUUCGGGUUGUAAACUCUUUCGACGUGGACGAUAAUGACGGUACCGUAGAAGAAGCUCCGGCUAACUUCGCGCCAGCAGCCGC